RNAcentral lists this ribosomal RNA (208 nucleotides) under uncultured bacterium. Its description in RNAcentral is "partial 16S ribosomal RNA". It matches the Rfam family "Bacterial small subunit ribosomal RNA", at positions 568 to 774 of the family's 1533-position model. The record is from RNAcentral.
CUCGUAGGCGGUUGGGUAAGUCGGGUGUGAAAACUCCAGGCUCAACUUGGAGACGCCACCCGAUACUGCUCUGACUUGAGUUCGGUAGGGGAGUGGGGAAUUCCUGGUGUAGCGGUGAAAUGCGCAGAUAUCAGGAGGAACACCGGUGGCGAAGGCGCCACUCUGGGCCGAAACUGACGCUGAGGAGCGAAAGCGUGGGUAGCAAACA